GGGCGUGCCUAAUACAUGCAAGUCGUACGCUUCUUUUUCCACCGGAGCUUGCUCCACCGGAAAAAGAAGAGUGGCGAACGGGUGAGUAACACGUGGGUAACCUGCCCAUCAGAAGGGGAUAACACUUGGAAACAGGUGCUAAUACCGUAUAACAAUCGAAACCGCAUGGUUUUGAUUUGAAAGGCGCUUUCGGGUGUCGCUGAUGGAUGGACCCGCGGUGCAUUAGCUAGUUGGUGAGGUAACGGCUCACCAAGGCCACGAUGCAUAGCCGACCUGAGAGGGUGAUCGGCCACAUUGGGACUGAGACACGGCCCAAACUCCUACGGGAGGCAGCAGUAGGGAAUCUUCGGCAAUGGACGAAAGUCUGACCGAGCAACGCCGCGUGAGUGAAGAAGGUUUUCGGAUCGUAAAACUCUGUUGUUAGAGAAGAACAAGGAUGAGAGUAACUGUUCAUCCCUUGACGGUAUCUAACCAGAAAGCCACGGCUAACUACGUGCCAGCAGCCGCGGUAAUACGUAGGUGGCAAGCGUUGUCCGGAUUUAUUGGGCGUAAAGCGAGCGCAGGCGGUUUCUUAAGUCUGAUGUGAAAGCCCCCGGCUCAACCGGGGAGGGUCAUUGGAACUGGGAGACUUGAGUGCAGAAGAGGAGAGUGGAAUUCCUGU
This 661-nucleotide ribosomal RNA is filed under the name Enterococcus faecium. RNAcentral describes it as "bacterial SSU rRNA". It matches the Rfam family "Bacterial small subunit ribosomal RNA", at positions 40 to 673 of the family's 1533-position model. The record is from RNAcentral. Lineage: Bacteria; Bacillati; Bacillota; Bacilli; Lactobacillales; Enterococcaceae.